This 389-nucleotide ribosomal RNA is filed under the name uncultured bacterium. Its description in RNAcentral is "partial 16S ribosomal RNA". It matches the Rfam family "Bacterial small subunit ribosomal RNA", at positions 338 to 724 of the family's 1533-position model. The record is from RNAcentral.
CCUACGGGUGGCAGCAGUGAGGAAUAUUGGUCAAUGGGCGCGAGCCUGAACCAGCCAAGUAGCGUGAAGGAUGACUGCCCUACGGGUUGUAAACUUCUUUUAUAAAGGAAUAAAGUGAGGCACGUGUGCCUUUUUGUAUUUACUUUAUGAAUAAGGAUCGGCUAACUCCGUGCCAGCAGCCGCGGUAAUACGGAGGAUCCGAGCGUUAACCGGAUUUAUUGGGUUUAAAGGGAGCGUAGAUGGGUUGUUAAGUCAGUUGUGAAAGUUUGGGGCUCAACCGUAAAAUUGCAAUUGAUACUGGCAGGCUUGAGUCUCGUAGAGGUGGGCAGAAUUCGUGGUGUAGCGGUGAAAUGCGUAGAUAUCACGAAGAACUCCGAUUGCGAAGGCAG